This 282-nucleotide ribosomal RNA is filed under the name uncultured prokaryote. RNAcentral describes it as "partial 16S ribosomal RNA". It matches the Rfam family "Bacterial small subunit ribosomal RNA", at positions 524 to 817 of the family's 1533-position model. The record is from RNAcentral.
UACGUAGGGGCUAGCGUUAUCCGGAAUUACUGGGCGUAAAGGGUGCGUAGGUGGUUUCUUAAGUCAGAGGUGAAAGGCUACGGCUCAACCGUAGUAAGCCUUUGAAACUGGGAAACUUGAGUGCAGGAGAGGAGAGUGGAAUUCCUAGUGUAGCGGUGAAAUGCGUAGAUAUUAGGAGGAACACCAGUUGCGAAGGCGGCUCUCUGGACUGUAACUGACACUGAGGCACGAAAGCGUGGGGAGCGAACAGGAUUAGAUACCCCGGUAGUCCCUGAGCGGGCU